Unclassified non-coding RNA from Aotus nancymaae (Ma's night monkey), 261 nucleotides. It matches the Rfam family "Metazoan signal recognition particle RNA". From Rfam's summary of the family: The signal recognition particle (SRP) is a universally conserved ribonucleoprotein. It is involved in the co-translational targeting of proteins to membranes. The record is from Ensembl. Lineage: Eukaryota; Metazoa; Chordata; Mammalia; Primates; Aotidae.
UCCCAGCUCGAUGGUAAGCCCUGAGUCCCAGCUACCGAGAGGGACCGUCGCUUGAGCCCAGGAGUUCUGGGCUGUGAUGCACUAUGCUGAUGGGUAUCCACACCAAGUUCAGCAUGAUAUGGUGACCUCCUUGGAGUGGGGGACUGCCAGGUUGACUAAGGAAGGGUGAACUGGCCCAGGUCAGAAUGGAACAGAUUGAAACUCUGGUCCUGAUCAUAGUGGAAUUGGGCAUUCCAGCCUGGACAACAUAAGGACAACGUU